Molecule: non-coding RNA, 830 nt
Organism: Camellia sinensis
Lineage: Eukaryota; Viridiplantae; Streptophyta; Magnoliopsida; Ericales; Theaceae
Source: RefSeq, a predicted model, not a curated record
UGCUCAGAUGAAUAAAAAUCUUGAAGUGAACAUUGUCAAAUUCAAUAAUACCCCAUGUAAGUCCAGAGGCUUUGCAUUUGCUUCAUCUCUAAUUUUUAGCCCUCUCUUGUGCACUUUGUGGAGAUGUCUCAAUUUGGUGCUCUGUUGGGUUAUGAUUAGGAAUAGAAUAGAAAUGUAAUUCACCCGGUUUAGUAGAAUUUUGAGAAUCUCUUUUUAAUUUUUUUUCUCAAAUAAAUUUAAUUAGUUUGACAACAAUAAUUCUUAAAAUAUAUCUUUAAAAAUUAUUUUCUUAAAAUUAUUAUGUCACUAACACAGUCAACAAUAAUGACUGUGCGCCCAUCAUCCAGUCAGGCUUAAGAUGCCCUCCAAGAGGAUCCACCAGCAUUUGGCUAUCUGUAAAGAUGGAUAGAAAAGACAAUGGUUUAGCAAUGGUUUAGCUAAAAAAUUGACACUGGUUGACUGCUUAGAUGUGUUAGUGACAUAAUAUUACUAAUUAUUGACUAAGCCGGAACUCCAAUACUUUUAAACCACCUAUUUACUUACUUGAAUAUCAAAUUGCUAGAAAAUUAUAAAAGAUGAAAGAAACAAACGAAAAUAAAUAAAAAAACAAUGCACUAUUAAACCCACAAAAGGUCUCUAUCAAAUACUUGUAUCAUGUAAGAAGACAACACUAAGUAAAAUCUCAGUCACCAUUUAAGUCAAAACCAUAUCACUUGAAAUAAUUGUAUUAAUGGAAUUUUGGUUUAACAAUUCCAAAAGACUCUUCCUACUUAACAUAUUUUUAUGUAAAUAUGUACCUUUUUAUAGCCUCUCACUUGUGUCUCACUGUG